GGACCUGCGGGCCCGGCGAGGGGACAGCGGCUUGGGCGUGUGUCAGCCGAGAUCGGACAGCAGGACGCAGAGCGUCCGCGCCGGAAUAAGAAUGCUUUUCACUGGCGGGGAAGCAAGUGGGACUGAUCAGCGGUUGAUUUUUCAGGUUCUUGGCUCCUGUUCUUAUUUAUACAGAGGUGACCAAAAGCCUUGGGCAGAGGCGGAAUGCUAGAGGGUGACAAUUGAGGGUAGGUUGUGAGCGUUUUAUUUCACAGUGGAGGAGCGGUCUGUAUUAUUUGCCUGCGGGAGGACUGUGGGAAGCGCGGAGCCGAAAUGCUGGUGGGAGAGGCGGCGAGAAGGAGGAGGUUCGGUGCAUCAGCUGCGCUGUCAGGGCCCUUCUGGAGAGUUGGAAGUCGGAGAGCCGUGCUGCAGAGGAAAAGAGGGCUCGGGGGAGACUGGAGGGUGGUGGCCGGGGGAGCACGAAAAUAAGAGUCAGUGAGCACGAGAUCUUAAAUUUUAUGAUCCGAAAGAUAAUCUGGGGCCUAAAACCCAGUAAUGGAUAAAGAAGUUUGUCGUCCCCCACUUACCCUGGCCCUGAAUCUCAGAGCUUCCUCCUCAAGGUCACAAGUGCUUUCAGACAUCCCCUGGCCCUUACCUGAUCCACAGAUAAUCUUCUGAAGAAAACAUUUGCAUAAAGAUGACUUCGUGCGUCUGCCCCCUUUAACUUAUGUCUGAAAUGUAGAACUCUGGGAAAGCACUUUAACCCAAAGGUAUGACUCUUCUUGUGGAAGAAUUUCUAUAAUCAGAAUUUCUGGCAUCUGAACUGGGAAGGUCCUUUGAGACUAGGAUUCUUCCCAAGGACUUUCAAAUCACCUCAGGUUGGCAAUCACCUGCUCUGAAAAGCUAACAGACAGACUGACCUAGCAGAAAAAAAAAAAAAAAAGUUUUGUGAAGUGGCCUGUACUGGAGAUGAGGCAGUGUUGGCUAGCACAUGAACCUGCAGUGAAAUAGGCAGUUUGACAAAUGUUCCUGAGGCAAGGAAGAUAAGAAAGCAUAAGACUUCCCGUAUGUUCUCUGUCAAAUGUAUAUUGAGCAUCUGCUAUAAUGCCAGACCCUGGAGAUACACUGAUGAGGAAAACAGUACAGUUCCUGCUGCCAUGAAGUUUACGGUCUAGUGAAGGAGGCAAGCAGUAACAAAAUAAUCAUUGUAAUUGCUAACCAAGAUACAUUUUACGAAAGAAAAACAUUUGUGUUAAAAAUAAAAAGUUUAAUAAAUUCUAACCAUAACCUAUAUAAGUCAUCGGUGAUUCAGUGGUAGUAUUCAUGCUUCCCAUGCAGGAGAAAAAAAAAAAAACCUAGAUCCAAUUCCUGGCCAGUGUACCUCAGGAACAACUACAAUCUGUCAGUUUCUCAUACAGUAGUGACUUUCUUGUUGCUAUGAUGCUGGAUAGCUUCAGUGACCUUCCAGACUCAGAUACAGUAAGAAGAAAAUCCUAGCAAUCUACUUGCAAAAAUCAGCCAGUGAAAAUCCUAUGGAUCAUAACAAAACACAGUGGCGUCACUAAGGUUGGUGUCACCCAGUAAGGUAACUCGUGGUGUCAUCCCCCCAUGCUAAUUACCACAAUAUUGUAGCUAAAACACCAGAUAAUUUGCCAAAAUCAGCAACUACAAAAAAACAGCAGCAGUGAACACAACAGCGUGCUUGUAGCUCGUGCAGAUGAAACCACGUGAUUUGAAGGAUCAUUGUAAUUGGGUAAUAAUGACAGCUCUGACCGGAGUGCAUUUGAAGGUUCAAAAAGUAAAUCAGUGUAGAGUUUUAGCCUUGUAAGUAUAUUGAUAUAUGUAAGCUGGGCUUAUGAAAAAAAUUUUUUGUUAUAACUACAGGAAUAUUUUUAUAAGAAAUAAUAAAUCUCUGCUGAAACGCGGUACAGAAAUUCUAUAGACAGUAAUUUUGGUGUCACCUCCUCGAACGAUGUCACGCAGUGUGGUCCAAACCACCCGCACCCCCAUAGUGACACCACUGACAAAACACUAUCUGAUCUGCAACUGAUCCUGGAAAUCCGGGCAGCAUUUCAUGAGCUCACCAUGAGUCAGAGCCCAUUCAUGGCAACUGACAAUAAUAACCAUAACCUUUGACGGAUAGAAGGAAUCACAGGCUCCAUCCCCAUCACCUCAGAGAUAAGGAAUCCCCAGUGACAAAAGGGUGACUCCUUGGGCUGCUCCACUUCCACCUGAACAUGUACUGACUUGCUCUACCCUUCGCCCUCACGUCUUAAAAUGCAGACGCCUAUUUUGAAUUGGAAAAAAAUUCCAACUGAGUAGAAAUACUGUUUAAUGGUGAUUGGUUUUCUUUCUUCUCUGUGUUUAACUUACUUGCUUUGCAGACAAAACAUACACUUGGUAAGCUUAGAAAGAGACAGAUACACUUCUGAUAUCUCAGAUCAAACCUGGGGGGAAAAACAAGCUAGCCGUGCUAUCCUGUCUCACGGGUAUACUUUUGAAGAAUAAGUUUCUUCACCUCUAGGAGGAAAAAGUACUAACUGAUUAUUUGACAGGUAAAGUAUGUGCACCCUGUAUAGCUGAAGAAUGACCCAUGUGUUUCUUGAGUUCAUGCCCUCUGACUCCCCCAAAAUUACUCAUUUUUCCUAUCUAGCCGAUAAUCAAGGGAAAAAUUGCUUACAAAACAUUUGCCACAUUUUUUCAUUGUUUUUGGUUGUUGAAUACAGUCUAUCCAAGAGGCCUGUAUAUAUCCAGGCUAUAUUAUCUAAACUUAUUGACAACUGUCCUGUAACACACAGCAUUCAUUUAUUUAACAUGAAAAAUAAUUUGGAAGAAAGAUAUCAUGAUAAAUCACGAUAUCAAUGUUGCCAUCAAUCAUAUAAUCAUUAAACAAGUAUUUAUUGAAUGACUUCUAUAGUGAGUAUUGCUAGACAAGAAGCCUCACUCCUGACUAGAGAGAGCUUACAGCCAUUACGAUUAUUUCUUUGUUUUUCAUGUAACUAUUUGUAGUUUAAGUUUGCGUACUUUUUUCUUAUCAAGCUAUUUGGAUGAAGCACAGAAACUUAAAUAUAAGAAACUCAUCGGUAUAUAAGUUAAAACUUAUUAAUAUUAGCAGGACUGGAUGGUUGACCAUUUUCUAAGAAAGCUUUGAGCAUUGGCUUAUCUCUGAAGAUUUCAGGCAAUAAAGCCAUUGUCGUUGUUGUUAGGUGCCAUCCAGACGAUUUUGACACAUAACGACCCCAUUGACAGAGUAGAACUGCUCCAUAGGGUUUCUUGGCAGAUCACCAGGUCUUUUCUUGGCUAUAAUCUUUAUGAAAGCAGAUUGCCAGGUCUUUUUCCUGCGGAGCCGCUAAGUGGAUUCAAACUGCGAGCCGGUGAAUGCUUAUGCAUUGUGCAACCAGGACUUAAUAAAGCCUUUAGGAAGUGGAAGCUUUCUCUUUUCAAAAGGUCUCAAAAACUGUACCCUUGGAAAUGACAUCCAACCUAUCACUGUGACUGGAUUGACAAAAUAAGUACGUAGGGGGAUGCAGCAAAGAUCACAUUUGUCAUUGUCGCUACAUAGUAUGUACAUAUUUUAGCUGCCAAAAAUUAGGUAGUCGUGUUCCUUUUCUAGAAGCAAAGAAGCGUAUUCUUUGAAAGUUUACUUGUGUCAAAUCAGGAUACAAAACUGAAAAAAAAAAAAAAAAAACCUUUCUUAGAAGUUUUUUAAAU
Long non-coding RNA from Loxodonta africana (African savanna elephant), 3690 nucleotides. RefSeq lists it as uncharacterized. The record is from RefSeq and is a predicted model, not a curated record. The transcript is spliced from 2 exons. Lineage: Eukaryota; Metazoa; Chordata; Mammalia; Proboscidea; Elephantidae.